UACGGGAGGCAGCAGGGGGGAAUAUUGCACAAUGGGCGCAAGCCUGAUGCAGCCAUGCCGCGUGUAUGAAAAAGGCCUUCGGGUUGUAAAGUACUUUCAGUCGUGAGGAAGGUGUUAAGGUUAAUAACCUUAGCAAUUGACGUUAGCGACAGAAGAAGCACCGGCUAACUCCGUGCCAGCAGCCGCGGUAAUACGGAGGGUGCGAGCGUUAAUCGGAAUUACUGGGCGUAAAGGGCACGCAGGCGGUUAAUUAAGUUGGAUGUGAAAUCCCCGGGCUUAACCUGGGAAUGGCAUUCAAGACUGGUUAGCUAGAGUCUUGUAGAGAGGGGUAGAAUUCCAUGUGUAGCGGUGAAAUGCGUAGAGAUGUGGAGGAAUACCGGUGGCGAAGGCGGCCCCUGGACAAAGACUGACGCUCAUGUGCGAAAGCGUGGGGAGCAAACGAGGAUUAGAUACC
Molecule: ribosomal RNA, 454 nt
Filed under: uncultured bacterium
Lineage: Bacteria
Description: bacterial SSU rRNA
Rfam family: Bacterial small subunit ribosomal RNA
Source: RNAcentral